ACAUCCAGCGAACUUGGCAGAGGAUGCCUUGGUGCCUUCGGGAACGCUGAGACAGGUGCUGCAUGGCUGUCGUCAGCUCGUGUUGUGAAAUGUUGGGUUAAGUCCCGNAACGAGCGCAACCCUUAUCCUUUGUUGCCAGCGAUUCGGUCGGGAACUCAAAGGAGACUGCCGGUGAUAAACCGGAGGAAGGUGGGGAUGACGUCAAGUCAUCAUGGCCCUUACGAGUAGGGCUACACACGUGCUACAAUGGCGCAUACAAAGAGAAGCGACCUCGCGAGAGCAAGCGGACCUCAUAAAGUGCGUCGUAGUCCGGAUCGGAGUCUGCAACUCGACUCCGUGAAGUCGGAAUCGCUAGUAAUCGUGGAUCAGAAUGCCACGGUGAAUACGUUCCCGGGCCUUGUACACACCGCCCGUCACACCAUGGGAGUGGGUUGCAAAAGAAGUAGGUAGCUUAACCUUCGGGAGGGCGCUUACCACUUUGUGAUUCAUGACUGGGGUGAAGUCGUAACAAGGUAAGCGUAGCGAG
RNAcentral lists this ribosomal RNA (526 nucleotides) under uncultured bacterium. RNAcentral describes it as "bacterial SSU rRNA". It matches the Rfam family "Bacterial small subunit ribosomal RNA", at positions 984 to 1509 of the family's 1533-position model. The record is from RNAcentral.